Non-coding RNA from Phthorimaea operculella (potato tuberworm), 76 nucleotides. The record is from the annotation of a GenBank genome assembly. Lineage: Eukaryota; Metazoa; Arthropoda; Insecta; Lepidoptera; Gelechiidae.
ACCGCGGUAGCCCAGAUUGAAGAGGCUACGCCAGUACUAAUGGCGAAAUUUGCAGGUUCAAAUCUUGCUUGCUGUA